UACAGAGGGUGCGAGCGUUGUUCGGAAUUACUGGGCGUAAAGCGCACGUAGGCGGCUUUGUAAGUUAGAGGUGAAAGCCCGGGGCUCAACUCCGGAACUGCCUUUAAGACUGCAUCGCUUGAAUCCAGGAGAGGUGAGUGGAAUUCCGAGUGUAGAGGUGAAAUUCGUAGAUAUUCGGAAGAACACCAGUGGCGAAGGCGGCUCACUGGACUGGUAUUGACGCUGAGGUGCGAAAGCGUGGGGAGCAAACAGG
RNAcentral lists this ribosomal RNA (253 nucleotides) under uncultured bacterium. RNAcentral's name for it is "partial 16S ribosomal RNA". It matches the Rfam family "Bacterial small subunit ribosomal RNA", at positions 524 to 776 of the family's 1533-position model. The record is from RNAcentral.